RNAcentral lists this ribosomal RNA (253 nucleotides) under uncultured bacterium. Its description in RNAcentral is "partial 16S ribosomal RNA". It matches the Rfam family "Bacterial small subunit ribosomal RNA", at positions 524 to 776 of the family's 1533-position model. The record is from RNAcentral.
UACGUAGGGUCCGAGCGUUGUCCGGAAUUACUGGGCGUAAAGAGCUCGUAGGUGGUUUGGCGCGUUGUUCGUGAAAACUCACAGCUCAACUGUGGGCGUGCGGGCGAUACGGGCAGACUUGAGUACUGCAGGGGAGACUGGAAUUCCUGGUGUAGCGGUGGAAUGCGCAGAUAUCAGGAGGAACACCGGUGGCGAAGGCGGGUCUCUGGGCAGUAACUGACGCUGAGGAGCGAAAGCGUGGGGAGCGAACAGG